This 251-nucleotide ribosomal RNA is filed under the name uncultured prokaryote. RNAcentral's name for it is "partial 16S ribosomal RNA". It matches the Rfam family "Bacterial small subunit ribosomal RNA", at positions 524 to 774 of the family's 1533-position model. The record is from RNAcentral.
UACGGAGGAUGCAAGCGUUAUCCGGAUUCAUUGGGUUUAAAGGGUGCGUAGGCGGGCUAUUAAGUCAGUGGUGAAAUCCUGCAGCUUAACUGCAGAACUGCCGUUGAUACUGAUAGUCUUGAGUUUGGUUAAGGUAGGCGGAAUGUGUAAUGUAGCGGUGAAAUGCUUAGAUAUUACACAGAGCACCAAUUGCGUAGGCAGCUUACUGAGCCGACACUGACGCUGAGGCACGAAAGCGUGGGGAUCAAACA